This is a long non-coding RNA of Arvicola amphibius (Eurasian water vole), 3198 nucleotides long. RefSeq lists it as uncharacterized. The record is from RefSeq and is a predicted model, not a curated record. Lineage: Eukaryota; Metazoa; Chordata; Mammalia; Rodentia; Cricetidae. The transcript has 2 exons.
UUCCCGGGACAUGACAUCAAGCCACAAGAAAGAGGACUCAGUCCCCUGGAGGACGCGUCACCUCCAGGCCCAUCGCUCCUGGAGAAUUAUCUUUUCUGAGAUGAGAGCCGUGAGCUUUUGGUGGUGCAUAACUGCAUCCAGACUUCAUUCACAGGGAGGCUACACUCGCUGAGGCUUAAUGUAAGCGGACCCAGUUUUCACCGGGGGCUCCAACUGAUGUGGACAACGUAUUUUACAGGCCAUAGAGAUAGCUCGUCAGAAGAGAGCCUGCUGCACAAGCGUAGGGCCUGAGUGUGGAUCACCAACAUCCACGUAGGAAGCUGGGUCCUGAAUCAUGUGACUGUCAUCACAGUGCUGUGGAACAUUGGAGACAGAAGGAUCCAGAGGGCUUGCUAUCCAGGGCUAGUCACCGUCCACUAAAAUCAGUGAGCUCCAAGUUCAAUGAUAGACCCUGCAUCAAAAACUAGGUGGAGAGUCACUGAGGAAAACCUCUAAUGCUGACCUCUGGCCUCUACAUUUGGGUGUAUACAUGUAGGCACACAUACACACACACGUACACACACACACACACACACAAAAGCAAGAUGUGCUUUAAAAGCCAACAACAAAAGCAAACGUCAAACCCAUUCUGGGCUGCAUCCUGGCCUUGGCCUUAAAAUAGCUCUAAGUCCGUGAGGACAGUGUGUGCGCACAGCCAGGAUUUCCUGAGACCCUCCUUUUCCUCUUUGCCUUGGUGCCGGUUCCCCACCCCAACCCAUUUGUAUCUGUGGGAAUGUUCUAGAAGGUAGUAUCAUUCAGGCUCCAGAUAGACACAAGUUCAGACUCCAGCCCAGCCACGACUUUCUCUGCAGAUGCCGGGCAGUCACUCCAGCACCAGGAUUCUGUCUGUGAUACCUGUGAAGGUAUGAAAAGUCCUGGCAAGGUGAUUGGGUGACAGAGAGAUGGAGGAGAGCCCUUCCCCAAGGCUGGAUAGAGGACCCUAGUCCCUUUGUCUGUGCACUGCCUUCCUCCCAGGCCCCAUUCCCACUACUUGGAGCUCUCCCUAUGAGCCAGACAAGCUGGUCCCUCUAGAACUUCUUUGUCUACCUACCUGAAAAGCACUGACCAGAUUUGGCUCUCAACUGGUGACAUUUGUCCAGACACAGUGGCUCAGAGACACUUUGGGACAGCUUGAGCCCAACAUCUGUCACUAGGCCAGAGACACCCAAGACCAUGAGCUUGCUUAGGGUGCCAUAAACUGUCCAACUCCCGAAGGGGACCAAUGGCUGUCACCUGGGCAGCAGCAGUCGGGGCCCAUGCGAGAAGAUUUUUGCUUUGAACUUAAGUCAUGCUAUUGUCCAGGUGACUGGUUAGCCAAUCUGUGUACCCACUGCCUCUGCAGGCCCCCAACAAGCAGGAGGUAUGCUUGGGGCUAAAUGCAGAGCCCACAGUCUCCCUCCCUCUCUCCUGCCGCUGGAGCAGACACAGGGUGGCCAGCGCCAGGGUCCAGAGAUGAGGAUUCCACUCCUCUCUGCUCAUGGCUCACAUUUAGCCCAGUGUGAGUCCUUCCCCAGCUGCACACUGGCUCAACGGCUGUAAUGAGCUGGCCUCCCUGUACCCUAAAGGAUGGUUCCGAGGGCAAGGAGGGAAUGAACACACAGCUUGGGGAAUGGUUAGUUUUGUGCCUGGAUGGCACCACUAACUGUUUCACAAAGCCCAUGAGAAAUGGUGAAGGUUAAAGUUCUGUAUAUGUGAAGAUGAGGACCGAAGAUGUGGCAGGAAAUAGCUCCCCACACCCCCGUGUGGCGUUCAGUCCUAGUCUGCAUCACUGCCUCUCCCCCAUGCCCAGAGGACAUUGAGGCGGGUACUCAAGCAGGGAGGAGCAACAUGCUCCAGGAGCAGGUUCCACAUGGCUAGGGAUCCCCCAUAGGGCUCCACAUGGCUAGGGCUCCUCAUAGGGCAAGUCAGUCAGGGGCCUGGAUCCUGCUGGAAGCUUCCAAUAGUGAAUGUCAGAGAUGGACGGCCCCUCUGAAGUUUAUUCUGAUCAUGACCAGGUCUGCUCUGUCUCCCUGUUCCCGGAUGUGGCCUUGUUUUCUUAUGUAACCCAGUCUUGCUGUUUUCCCUGGCACCUGGGCUACCACAUUGGUAGCUGAGGUUACCGCUCUCUAGGAGGGCAGGUGGAGGGGGCAAGCAGCAUAUGGCCAUUGGCUAUGGCCCUCCCUCCAGGAGCCAACUUGGAGCAGCCCAUUUCCUGCGCCACUCUGGCUUUGCUGGCUGAAAACUGAGCACUUCCUGGGUAAAAAGCCUGGAUAACGUCAAACUGAUCCCUAACCCUGAGGACGGAGCAGACUCCCCUCCUGCUUAGUUGUGCAUGCUAGAUAAUAACUCAUAGGCUCAAACAGUGAUCAGUCUUGAGCCCUCUGCCUGGUCCCCUGCCCCCUUCCCUCCCUCUCCUCCUACAGAGAAACACUAGAUAAUAACUCAUAGGCUCAAACAGUGAUCAGUCUCGAGCCCUCUGCCUGGUCCCCUGCCCCCUUCCCUCCCUCUCUUCCUACAGAGAACCGCUUGUUUAGUUCCCAUAUUGCCUUCCAGUUAUUUCUUUAUGUAAAUUCAAACAUGUGUUUUUGUUUCGCCACGUCCCUGAGAUACACAAAGGGUUGAAUGUGGUGUUUCCCAUGUCUGCAGGGGGCUGGGAAGAGGCAACUGGCAGCUGGAGCUGGCAAGAAAGGAUUGUUAGCCAGCAUAGGGAGCAGGGAGAUGCAGUCUCCCAGAGUGAGGACAAGAGGGGAGCCGGGGAGAAGAGAGGAGGAGGAGGACAGAGGGCCUGCUCCUGCAUAGCAGGGGUCUCAGGGGGAAAACAGCCCCUCAGACAUGCUAACCCUCAGGCAAUGACCUCUCAGAAGUCCCAGGGUAAGGAGGCCUGUGGAGUCGACAAGUCAGCCGAACAGACCUAGAGCAGUCUACAACCACUAUGGAAAUCAGCAUUGCUGUUUCUCCUAAGACAAGAAAGAGAGCUACCGUGUGACCACCCCAGGUGUGGUCCCCACAGGAAUCUAGAUCAGCACACCCAAGGACUGAACAACAGCCAGGAAAUGAACCAGCCCAGAUGUCUGUCAUCAGAUGGACGAAUACAGAAAGCACGGCACGCGGGCACAAUUGUGAUGGACGGAAACACGUAUCAUCAUGCUAAGUGUAAGAAGCCAGACACAGAAAGACAAA